Molecule: long non-coding RNA, 568 nt
Organism: Chlorocebus sabaeus (green monkey)
Lineage: Eukaryota; Metazoa; Chordata; Mammalia; Primates; Cercopithecidae
Source: RefSeq, a predicted model, not a curated record
AUGGUUAAGAUGGCUUUUUUUCGAGGUGGGAGCCGACUGUUGUGAGGUAUGGUACUGGGUGCAGAUGCAAUGUGGCUCUCGAUAGCACCUUAUGGACAGUUGUGUCCCAAAGGAGGGAUAACAAUAGCUACUGAAGUCCUAAAGAGCAAGCCUAACUCAAGCCAUUGGCAUACAGGCAUUAGACAGAAAACUAGAAGUUGAAAUGGUGGAGUCCAACUUGUCUGGACCAGCUUUAUGUUUCUGGUGCCGAUGUUUGGAGACCUUUUAAAGGACUCAGAAUUCAUGCUUGAAGAAAUGCAGGCAGACCUGUUAUCCUAAACUAGAGUUUUUAAUGACCACAGCAAGCAAGCAUGUAGCUUACCGCUUGAAAGGGUCUUGCCUCACCCAAGCUGGAGUGCAGUGGCCCUUUGAGGCUUACUACAGCCUGCCUCAGACUUCUGGGCUCAAGUGAUCCUCAGCCUCCCAAUGGUCUUUGUAGACAGCCUGAUGGAGUCUCAUGGCACAAGAAGAUUAAAACAGUGUCUCCAAUUUUAAUAAAUUUUUGCAAUCCAAAAAAAAAAAAAAAAAA